RNAcentral lists this ribosomal RNA (497 nucleotides) under uncultured bacterium. Its description in RNAcentral is "partial 16S ribosomal RNA". It matches the Rfam family "Bacterial small subunit ribosomal RNA", at positions 28 to 507 of the family's 1533-position model. The record is from RNAcentral.
GAUGAACGCUGGCGGCGUGCCUAAUACAUGCAAGUCGAGCGAACAGACGAGGAGCUUGCUCCUCUGACGUUAGCGGCGGACGGGUGAGUAACACGUGGAUAACCUACCUAUAAGACUGGGAUAACUUCGGGAAACCGGAGCUAAUACCGGAUAAUAUAUUGAACCGCAUGGUUCAAUAGUGAAAGACGGUUUUGCUGUCACUUAUAGAUGGAUCCGCGCCGCAUUAGCUAGUUGGUAAGGUAACGGCUUACCAAGGCAACGAUGCGUAGCCGACCUGAGAGGGUGAUCGGUCACACUGGAACUGAGACACGGUCCAGACUCCUACGGGAGGCAGCAGUAGGGAAUCUUCCGCAAUGGGCGAAAGCCCGACGGAGCAACGCCGCGUGAGUGAUGAAGGUCUUCGGAUCGUAAAACUCUGUUAUUAGGGAAGAACAAAUGUGUAAGUAACUAUGCACGUCUUGACGGUACCUAAUCAGAAAGCCACGGCUAACUACGUG